Molecule: ribosomal RNA, 371 nt
Filed under: uncultured bacterium
Lineage: Bacteria
Description: bacterial SSU rRNA
Rfam family: Bacterial small subunit ribosomal RNA
Source: RNAcentral
GAUGAACGCUAGCGGGAGGCCUAACACAUGCAAGCCGAGCGGUAUAGAAUCUUCGGAUUUUAGAGAGCGGCGUACGGGUGCGGAACACGUGUGCAACCUACCUUUAUCUGGAGGAUAGCCUUUCGAAAGGGAGAUUAAUACUCCAUAAUAUAUUGAUUGGCAUCAAUUAAUAUUGAAAGCUCCGGUGGAUAGAGAUGGGCACGCGCAAGAUUAGUUAGUUGGUGAGGUAACGGCUCACCAAGACGAUGAUCUUUAGGGGGCCUGAGAGGGUGAUCCCCACACUGGUACUGAGACACGGACCAGACUCCUACGGGAGGCAGCAGUGAGGAAUAUUGGACAAUGGGUGCAAGCCUGAUCCAGCCAUCCCGCGU